RNAcentral lists this ribosomal RNA (450 nucleotides) under uncultured Synergistota bacterium. RNAcentral's name for it is "bacterial SSU rRNA". It matches the Rfam family "Bacterial small subunit ribosomal RNA", at positions 917 to 1359 of the family's 1533-position model. Lineage: Bacteria; Thermotogati; Synergistota. The record is from RNAcentral.
GGGCCCGCACAAGCGGUGGAGCACGUGGUUUAAUUCGAUGCAAACCGAAGAACCUUACCUGGGUUUGACAUGCAGGUGUUAGGAGUCUGAAAGGGCGACGACCUUACGUAAGUAAGGGGCUUGCACAGGUGCUGCAUGGCUGUCGUCAGCUCGUGUCGUGAGAUGUUGGGUCAAGUCCCGCAACGAGCGCAACCCUUGUAAUCAGUUACCAACGGGAGAGCCGGGGACUCUGGUUAGACUGCCGUCGACAAGGCGGAGGAAGGUGGGGACGACGUCAAGUCAUCAUGGCCUUUAUGUCCAGGGCGACACACGUGCUACAAUGGCGCGCACAGAGGGGAGCGAGGCUGUAAGGCGGAGCGGAUCUCAGAAAGCGUGUCUCAGUUCGGAUUGCGGUCUGCAACUCGAGCGCAUGAAGAUGGAAUCGCUAGUAAUCGCGGAUCAGCCAAGCCG